GGCGGAUCAUCCGGUGUUCUCACCGGUGCACUUCGUCUGGUUGAGGCCAGCAUCGGUUUUCGUAGAGGGAUAAAAGCAGUAGGAAUGUGGUUCCUCCGGGAAUGUUAUAGCCUAUUGUAUAAUACCUCUAUGGGGACCGAGGUUCGCGCUCUGCAAGGAUGCUGGCGUAAUGGUCAUCAACGACCCGUCUUGAAACACGGACCAAGGAGUCGAACAUUUGUGCGAGUGUUUGGGUGUUAAACCCUCACGCGUAAUGAAAGUGAACGGAGGUGAGAGCCCUUACGGGUGCAUCAUCGACCGAUCCUGAUGUUUUCGGAUGGAUUUGAGUAAGAGCAUAACUGUUCGGACCCGAAAGAUGGUGAACUAUGCGUGGAUAGGGUGAAGCCAGAGGAAACUCUGGUGGAGGCUCGCAGCGGUUCUGACGUGCAAAUCGAUCGUCAAAUCUGCGCAUGGGGCGAAAGACUAAUCGA
RNAcentral lists this ribosomal RNA (470 nucleotides) under Beltraniella endiandrae. RNAcentral's name for it is "LSU rRNA". It matches the Rfam family "Eukaryotic large subunit ribosomal RNA", at positions 445 to 938 of the family's 3401-position model. The record is from RNAcentral. Lineage: Eukaryota; Fungi; Ascomycota; Sordariomycetes; Amphisphaeriales; Beltraniaceae.